Daphnia magna is the source of this 733-nucleotide long non-coding RNA. RefSeq lists it as uncharacterized. Lineage: Eukaryota; Metazoa; Arthropoda; Branchiopoda; Diplostraca; Daphniidae. The transcript is spliced from 4 exons. The record is from RefSeq and is a predicted model, not a curated record.
CCAUGUAGCGAUUUCGAUAGACGACGCCUUCAAGGGAGGAGGAGUCUACAACAUAUUGAAUUUAUCGAUCGAUUGUUAGGCCGAUUUCGAUCAGCAUUGUAUAGUUAAUGAAUGACAACUUGACGAGAUCUCGACACGCACGUUGGAAGUGUACGCGUGUUUGCACCUCGAUGAGCGUUGCACAAUAACAAAGCUCCGUUGGUGAGCGUAUUGAUUAAUAAAGCUAGGUGAAGUCCUUGAGUGCCUCAAGAAGGAAUCGCCGAGCAUCGUCAUACAGUAUUUUUUCCUUCAACAAUUAAUCUUGCAUCUCCAACCGUGGAAUGAGUUACAUGUGACUCGAGACAAACAAACAGUGCAAUUGCAACAAUAUAAUUAGUCAGCGGUAUGGUCACUAUCAGCAGCUUUACACACAGUGUGCAUCGUGAAUACACCAAUCCCAGAGAAAAAAUUCCAAUGGAAAAUAUUGAGAAUUUCUGCCCUUCUAUCCUAAACUACACAAUGCUGGUUUGUAUAAAUAGGCAUAAAAAAACCUAUCAACAGUAUUUUUAGUUUGCAGUUUGCUUUAACAUACAACUCUAUGGCAUGUUGAUAUUAGCUAAAUUUUUAUUAUUUAUAGGAUAAGACGGUACAAAAAAUUCUUCUCUUGGAAGUUUAUGACUUUGGACUUGCUUGAGAUGACCCUUGAGCCAAGAAGCUUUUCCUGCUUUGUGUGGACAGGAAUAUUGUCACACGA